UAGAGUUUGAUCCUGGCUCAGAGCGAACGCUGGCGGUAUGCUUAACACAUGCAAGUCGAGCGAGAAAGUGGCUUCGGCCACGAGUACAGCGGCGGACGGGUGCGUAACACGUGGAUAAUCUGCCUUCAGGUCUGGGAUAACCCUGGGAAACUAGAGCUAAUACCGGAUAAGACCACAGGUUCCAUGGAACCAAGGGUAAAAGGCGGCCUUCGGGCUGUCUCCUGAAGAUGAGUCCGCGUCCCAUCAGGUUGUUGGUGAGGUAACGGCUCACCAAGCCGAAGACGGGUAGCCGACCUUAGCGGGUGAUCGGCCACACGGGGACUGAGACACGGCCCCGACUCCUACGGGAGGCAGCAGUGGGGAAUCUUGGGCAAUGGGCGAAACCCUGACCCACAAUACCG
RNAcentral lists this ribosomal RNA (401 nucleotides) under uncultured bacterium. Its description in RNAcentral is "bacterial SSU rRNA". It matches the Rfam family "Bacterial small subunit ribosomal RNA", at positions 1 to 399 of the family's 1533-position model. The record is from RNAcentral.